RNAcentral lists this long non-coding RNA (1176 nucleotides) under Sus scrofa (pig). RNAcentral's name for it is "lncRNA (ENSSSCG00030005433.1)". Lineage: Eukaryota; Metazoa; Chordata; Mammalia; Artiodactyla; Suidae. The record is from RNAcentral.
AUGAUUUUUAAAGAUCUAUUUCUAUACAUAACUAAAACAACUUUUAUAACCUGUAAAAUAAGUUUUUUUCCUUCUAGCACCGCAGUUGACCUCAGUGAAAAACCCAGUAUUUCUCUGGAAGAAGACGGGAACAAGGCGAGCGCCUUCUCAAAAUAUCCUGAAAAGCAGGAUCAAUUUCUGAGGAAAAGGGUCGGCGGCAGUACCGUGAACUACUAUAGGCGUUCCUCUCAGAGGAAGGAAUAUGGGGAGACCAGACCAAGUGAGAAGAUUCUGUAAUUAGUCAUAACCAGUGCCAUAAACUGCGACACGUGCGAAUUCACACAUCACGGCACACAGGUAAACAGGAAAAAAUGGGGACAUAGCUAUUUCACUAAGACAUCUCUAGUUAAAGAAGCUUAGAUCAUACUUGAAUCCUCUUCUUUUACAAAUAAGACUAGAAACCCAGAGAGAUGAUUUGACUGAUCCAAGGGCACGUCGCUGUCUGCGGACCAAGCAGGGGCAGCGCCCAGCUGCCAAAUUCAUAGCAACACACAGUUCCUCUUUCAUUUCAUCCCACUGUUCCUAUGCUGGCGUCUCUGGCAGAGACAGCCUCCCGGUGUACACAUUGCUUGGAAGGUACUGCACCUGGGAGACCCCGUCAAGCUGCAGGAAUUAUUACUUCUGGCCACACAGUUCAUUGACCCAUAAACCAACAAAUACAUUCCAACCCUGCUAAUGAUAUUGAGAAAGGAGCUCCUAAAACUUUUCAGACCAUGAAAUGCGUGUCUUACUUGUGACAACGUUAGUGAGAUGAAAGCUGGGCAGAUCCAGGCCAAGCUGAAUUUGCGUUAUCCCAGGGUAAGGUCUCGGGGAGUUUCCUUCAUGUUCAAAGAAGUUGUGGUGCUCAUAUAUUUGGUAUCCACAUAACUUGUACCUUCACACAUCCUAUAUUGAUUUUCACACAUCUCCUUUCCUUGGUGGGUUUCAGGCUUUCACCUGUGACUGGUCUGGGGUGUCAUCGCGGGUUGUCAUAAUGGCCAGCAGGGGGCGACGGCUCGGCACUGCAGAGGCAGAGGCAGGGUGUGCGGGAGGGGCUGGUGUCAGGAUCUGAGCCAAGGGGGAAUCUUCCCUCUCAACUCUUCGUUUUGUUCCCUCCCCACCUUCUCAUUUCUCAAAAGAAACACCUUUCAGGGUGAG